CCUACGGGAGGCAGCAGUAGGGAAUAUUGCUCAAUGGGGGAAACCCUGAAGCAGCAACGCCGCGUGGAGGAUGAAGGUUUUCGGAUUGUAAACCUCUUUUGUUAGAGAAGAUAAUGACGGUAUCUAACGAAUAAGCACCGGCUAACUCCGUGCCAGCAGCCGCGGUAAUACGUAGGGUGCAAGCGUUACUCGGAAGUACUGGGCGUAAAGGGCGCGUAGGCGGGUUUGCAAGUCAGAUGUGAAAUCCUAGGGCUUAACCAUAGAACUGCAUUUGAAACUGUUAUUCUAGAGUAUGGGAGAGGUAGGUGGAAUUCGUGGUGUAGGGGUGAAAUGCGUAGAGAUCAAGAGGAACACUAAUGGCGAAGGCGACCUGCUAGAACAUAACUGACGCUGAUGCACGAAAGCGUGGGGAGCAAACAGGAUUAGAUACCCUUGUAGUC
Molecule: ribosomal RNA, 440 nt
Filed under: uncultured bacterium
Lineage: Bacteria
Description: partial 16S ribosomal RNA
Rfam family: Bacterial small subunit ribosomal RNA
Source: RNAcentral